Molecule: long non-coding RNA, 535 nt
Organism: Neofelis nebulosa (Clouded leopard)
Lineage: Eukaryota; Metazoa; Chordata; Mammalia; Carnivora; Felidae
Exons: 3
Source: RefSeq, a predicted model, not a curated record
GGAGCGCCAGCCAGGUGAGCCGGCCCGUGCACUUGCUAGUGAGUCCCCGCCUCUAACCUAAGGCAGCGCUCUGGGAAGUGAUCUUGGUGCUCCAGGAGGCAAAGUUCCCGUAACAGGAUGAAACCGUAAGGAAUGCGUUGAAAGAUGCCAUUGUUCUCGUUGGAAAAAAUCUGGGUGGUCACAUGUCUAAGGAUCUUGGGCGGUGAAGAGACACCUUUCUUCAGGAAACCAGUUGUAGAAGUGAUUGCCAUCAGUGAUUCAACUCUGGGGUCAUGCAUUCACUUGGAAUGAAUGAGAAGAAAAAGGUGCCUCUUCUGGACACGGGACGAGUGCCUUGCAUACCUCACGGUCCCCUAGAGGGCGGCCCAGUCCCACAGGCCAUCUGGAGUUGUUUUUCUCUGCAUGGCCAGGCACCUAAACUCCGUUCAAUGGGAUGUGUGCAGUUUCAGAAUUAUACCUUCAAAAAGAAGGAAGCAUGCGAACCUGUCCCCCCUCCCCUCUUCCUGCUAGCUGUAAUGCCGAUGUAAUGGUAUGG